AAAGCAACAAGCAUUAUUAUUAAGUAGUGCAUUGCUUAUUAGUGAUAAUAAUGGGGAGUUUGGGUCUAGUAUAAAUAAAAAUUUUACAAAGACUCCAAGUAAAGAUCACCUAAUAUUCGUUUAGAAGAUGUUUCUACUUCUAGUGGAAUUUCACUCGAAGUCUAUAAGAAGGUUAUUGCGACCUACCGAUUUUUUCUGUCGGUAGGC
This is a non-coding RNA of Cinara cedri, 207 nucleotides long. Lineage: Eukaryota; Metazoa; Arthropoda; Insecta; Hemiptera; Aphididae. The record is from the annotation of a GenBank genome assembly.